UCAUUACACCUUUCAAUUCAAGGCUGUCUUUCUUUCACAGAUGACCCAAAUAUCAAAGAUAUGACUUCAUACUUCCUUCCUGUUGACUUUCAAGAGUUUUAACCUUGAAUGGUGUAAUCACUCUGGGCAAAUACCGUCUUAGAAAGUAGAGGAAAUAUUAAGGUACAAAGAAAUCCAAGCAGGACUGGGCACAAAAUGGAAAAAGGAGAGGUCACUGGAGUUUGCCCCAUGAAAAAGGAAUUGUGGAUCUGAAACCUAAAUAACUUCAGCAAUCCACAUUUUUAGUUUCAGAAGUGUCCUAAAAGAACUGAACAGCCACCCAAGUGUCCCACAAUCCAUGGUUUCAUCAGACGUUUCUUUAAGAAAAAACAGAACUUCAAUCAAAAUCUCAAACAACAAAGAAAC
This 405-nucleotide long non-coding RNA is filed under the name Capra hircus (goat). RNAcentral describes it as "lncRNA (ENSCHIG00000001197.1)". The record is from RNAcentral. Lineage: Eukaryota; Metazoa; Chordata; Mammalia; Artiodactyla; Bovidae.